RNAcentral lists this ribosomal RNA (864 nucleotides) under Vibrio parahaemolyticus. Its description in RNAcentral is "partial 23S ribosomal RNA". It matches the Rfam family "Bacterial large subunit ribosomal RNA", at positions 607 to 1479 of the family's 2925-position model. Lineage: Bacteria; Pseudomonadati; Pseudomonadota; Gammaproteobacteria; Vibrionales; Vibrionaceae. The record is from RNAcentral.
UUUGUAUAAUGGGUCAGCGACUUAUAUUCAGUGGCAAGGUUAACCAUCUAGGGGAGCCGUAGGGAAACCGAGUCUUAACUGGGCGUUCAGUCUCUGGAUAUAGACCCGAAACCAGGUGAUCUAGCCAUGGGCAGGUUGAAGGUUGAGUAACAUCAACUGGAGGACCGAACCGACUAAUGUUGAAAAAUUAGCGGAUGACUUGUGGCUAGGGGUGAAAGGCCAAUCAAACCUGGAGAUAGCUGGUUCUCCCCGAAAGCUAUUUAGGUAGCGCCUCGGACGAAUACUACUGGGGGUAGAGCACUGUUAAGGCUAGGGGGUCAUCCCGACUUACCAACCCUUUGCAAACUCCGAAUACCAGUAAGUACUAUCCGGGAGACACACGGCGGGUGCUAACGUCCGUCGUGGAGAGGGAAACAACCCAGACCGCCAGCUAAGGUCCCAAAUUACUACUAAGUGGGAAACGAUGUGGGAAGGCUCAGACAGCCAGGAUGUUGGCUUAGAAGCAGCCAUCAUUUAAAGAAAGCGUAAUAGCUCACUGGUCGAGUCGGCCUGCGCGGAAGAUGUAACGGGGCUAAGUAGUAAACCGAAGCUGCGGCAAUAUACUUUUGUAUAUUGGGUAGGGGAGCGUUCUGUAAGCGGUUGAAGGUGUGUGGUAACGCAUGCUGGACGUAUCAGAAGUGCGAAUGCUGACAUGAGUAACGAUAAAGGGGGUGAAAAACCUCCUCGCCGGAAGACCAAGGGUUCCUGUCCAACGUUAAUCGGGGCAGGGUAAGUCGACCCCUAAGGCGAGGCCGAAAGGCGUAGUCGAUGGGAAACGGGUUAAUAUUCCCGUACUUCUUACAAUUGCGAUGGGGGGACGGAGAA